RNAcentral lists this long non-coding RNA (1268 nucleotides) under Homo sapiens (human). Its description in RNAcentral is "HSALNT0120280". Lineage: Eukaryota; Metazoa; Chordata; Mammalia; Primates; Hominidae. The record is from RNAcentral.
AUUACAUAGUAGCUGCAAAAUAAUUUGGCUUUCUUGGAGUUGGACACCACCUGAACCUGAGUGAAAUGAUUGUGCACUUCUUAAUGGCCUCCAUCUCUGGCCAAGCUGCCUUGGGACCAGAACAAUCAUCUAAGUCCCAGUUUCCAGCCUAAAACAGCAUGAGGACAAGGCCAGGAGGCCACAGCAAGGCUGUAAUCAGAACCCACAAGGAUUGCAUGGAGAUGCUGCAGUGCCGCCACCACCCAACGGCCGGAGCCCCCAGCAAAGGUACAGUUUUCCACAAAAUGGGAGAAAAGUAUAAGAAGCUCUUCCUGCUAUGGGUAAGGUAGUGAAAUUACAAGUCAUUCACUAAAUAUAAAUUCAAAUGUAAAGAUAUAUGUGAUUCUUGAAUAUAUGAAAUGUGUUCAGAUAGUCUUUCAAGGAGCCCAGCUGCCUGACCCCUAUAAGGACCCCAGGACACUGUCCUCUGGAGUGGAGCUGUAUUUGAUGUGUGUUUAUCCAUCACUAGACUGUAAGUGACAGAUAAAUCUUACAACAGGGCUCAUGUCUGCUUUAUCUUCAUUUUAUCUCCAGAGCCCCAAUACAAUGCUUCGUACCUAGAAGGCUCUCAGAAACAGAAAUCUGGUGAAUUAGUUAAAUUAUAUGCUUCUCUGCCCUCUGCCCUCCAUAAGAAAAAAAGAAAAGACCUAUAAAAGGCAUUCUGAACACUGGAGUUUGGCUCCUGUUUACCAUGUACAUCUAGAGAAGUGUACAAUUCGUGCUUGUAUGAAAUAAUGAAUGUUCACAAAGUGAGUAUACUUCUGUAAGCACUGCCUAAAUCAAAAGCAGCAAUGUGACCAGCCCCCCGGCCACCCUUGGUGCUCUCCCAAGCACUCCUCCACCAUCCUCUCCAACUGCAACCGCUAUCCUGAUUUCUAACACCCUAGGGGAGUUUUGCCUAGUUUUAAAUUUUACAUGAAUGGAGUCUCAUCAUAUGUAUUACUUUUACACUCAUAAUAUUUUCAAGAUAAGGAUAAAAAGCAAAAUUUUGGUCUUAUCACAAAGAUAUACCUGAGAUACACGAUCUUUAGAUUCUAAAUGACAAAGACUGAACUAAUCUAAAGGACAAAAAUGCAAACUGCAUUUUCACUUCUGGCUAAACUGAAUUUUUAAAAAAUUUCUCUUAUGCUUUCUUAUGUUUUAAUGAUCAUUCAUGAUAUUGCUUAAUUUCAGAGCAUAGAAAAUUGUGAAGUACAGUAGCAAAGACAUGGAAUCAACCUAAAUGCCCA